RNAcentral lists this transfer RNA (85 nucleotides) under Aerococcus viridans. Its description in RNAcentral is "tRNA-Leu". It matches the Rfam family "tRNA". Rfam says of the family: Transfer RNA (tRNA) molecules are approximately 80 nucleotides in length. Their secondary structure includes four short double-helical elements and three loops (D, anti-codon, and T loops). The record is from RNAcentral. RNAcentral also lists the same sequence under 2 other names. Lineage: Bacteria; Bacillati; Bacillota; Bacilli; Lactobacillales; Aerococcaceae.
GCCGGGGUGGCGGAAUAGGCAGACGCACAGGACUUAAAAUCCUGCGAGGGAUAACCUCGUACCGGUUCGACCCCGGUCCUCGGCA